CUUCUGUAUAAUUGGCUCAUCAGUUGGUUAUGCCUCUUAGAUAUGCACCAAGCGUGCUCUCCCUUUGUACUCUGCCUUCUUACAGCUGUCAUCAAUUCCAAUUACCUGCUCAGAUGUAUUCCAUUGAUCGGAUUUGCAAUCUAAUGUGCAUUCCAUUAGUUCUUGAGGAUUUCCGAUAACGUUACCUCAUGAAACACUUCCUUGCGUUC
Molecule: non-coding RNA, 209 nt
Organism: Pelobates cultripes (western spadefoot toad)
Lineage: Eukaryota; Metazoa; Chordata; Amphibia; Anura; Pelobatidae
Source: the annotation of a GenBank genome assembly